This 1584-nucleotide ribosomal RNA is filed under the name metagenome. RNAcentral describes it as "SSU rRNA". It matches the Rfam family "Eukaryotic small subunit ribosomal RNA", at positions 3 to 1385 of the family's 1831-position model. The record is from RNAcentral.
CCUGGUUGAUCCUGCCAGUAGUCAUAUGCUUGUUUCAAGGAUUAAGCCAUGCAAGUCUCAGAGUAAGUGGAUUAACAGUGGAUCUGCAGACGGCUCAUUAAAUCAGCUGCAAUCUGCGCCGGGAAGGAGCUACAAGGCGCCCAAUGGAUAUCAAGCGUAACUCGCUUGUUAAUACAUGUCCGAAAAUCGCAACUCAGAUUCCACCUGGGAAGGGAAACCAACUCAGGCUGAGGUGUGAGCAAUUGACCGAAACAAGAACCAACGCCUGCAAAGGCAGCGGUGAGUGGAUGACACAGGUCAAUCGAGCGAUAGCACAUGCCUUCGGGCGGUGCAAGCCGGCAAGAGCAUCUGCCCUAUCAGCUUUUGACGGUAGUGUAGUGGACUACCGUGGCGUUAACGGGUAACGGGGAAUUAGGGUUCGAUUCCGGAGAGGGAGCCUGAGAAACGGCUACCACAUCUAAGGAUGGCAGCAGGCGCGCAAAUUGCCCAAUAGCAACACUGCUGAGGCAGCGAAGAGAAAUAGCAACUUCUGGUGCUCUGCAUCAUGGAGAUUGCAAUGGAUGAUAUCUAAACCUGUCAGUGAACUCAAUUGGUGGACAAGUCUGGUGCCAGCACCCGCGGUAAUUCCAGCACCAAUAGCGUAUAUUAAUGCUGUUGCUGUUAAAAAGCUCGUAGUUGGAUGCAGAGCCCAGGUUGUGUUGAGGCCGAUUAGUUCGGGAUUCAGCGUACUGCUGAUGAACGUUCUUUUCGGAUCCAACCCAACACAUCAAGACCUGUGCUCUAGGAAUGGUGGUAAUGGUGCCCUGCGAUUAGGUUUCUUCAUUGAGACUGAAAGCGUCUUCGCGUUAACCACACGCAUACGGGUCGACCACCGAAGUUACUGUGAACAAAUCAGUGUGUCCAAAGCAGGCGUUCGCCCUGAAUGAUAAAGCAUGGAAUAACAAGGGAUCGAUUCUCUCGAGUCUUCUUGUUGGUUUUUGCCUCGAGGAGGAGCAAUUCAAGUUACAGACUUAUUCACUUUCUCUCAGGAGAUUGUGUCUCAGACUGUGACCCAACGGGAUCAAGAGGGACUGCCGGGGUCGUACGUACUCCCACGUCAGAGGUGAAAUUCUUAGAUCGUGGGAAGACGAACUUCUGCGAAAGCAUUCGACAAGAAUGUCUUCAUUAAUCAAGAACGAGAGUGUGGGGAUCGAAGAUGAUCAGAUACCGUCGUAGUCCACUACUGUAAACGAUGCCGUCUCAGGAUCGAGAGGUGCAUAUCAAUGACCCUCACGGCACUAACCCCUGAAACGAGAAAUCAAAGAUUAUGGGUUCAGGGGGGAGUACAUUCGCAAGGCUGAAACUUAAAGGAAUUGACGGAAUGACACCACCAGGCGUGGAGUAUGCGGCUUAAUUUGACCCAACACGGGGAAUUUUACUAGGUCAGGACAGUGCCAGGAUUGACAGAUUGAGAGCUCUUUCUCGAUUUAUUGUGUGGUGGUGCAUGGCCGCUCCUGGUUGGUGGAGUGAUUUGUCUGGUUGAUUCCGUUAACGAACGAGAUCUCGACCCUUAAAUAGGCUGCCGGACGUCUCGGUCUGUCGCCC